Molecule: ribosomal RNA, 414 nt
Filed under: uncultured bacterium
Lineage: Bacteria
Description: bacterial SSU rRNA
Rfam family: Bacterial small subunit ribosomal RNA
Source: RNAcentral
GUGUCAGCAGCCGCGGUAAUACGUAGGGUGCGAGCGUUGUCCGGAAUUACUGGGCGUAAAGAGCUCGUAGGUGGUUUGUCGCGUUGUCCGUGAAAACUCACAGCUUAACUGUGGGCGUGCGGGCGAUACGGGCAGACUAGAGUACUGCAGGGGAGACUGGAAUUCCUGGUGUAGCGGUGGAAUGCGCAGAUAUCAGGAGGAACACCGGUGGCGAAGGCGGGUCUCUGGGCAGUAACUGACGCUGAGGAGCGAAAGCGUGGGUAGCGAACAGGAUUAGAUACCCUGGUAGUCCACGCCGUAAACGGUGGGUACUAGGUGUGGGUUUCCUUCCACGGGAUCCGUGCCGUAGCUAACGCAUUAAGUACCCCGCCUGGGGAGUACGGUCGCAAGGCUGAAACUUAAAGGAAUUGACGG